UAACUGCGAUAAGUAGCGUGAAUUGCAGACGCUUUGAACGUUAAACUUUCGAACGCACAUUGCGCCGUAGGAGUCCUACCCUACGGCACAUCUGGUUGAGGGUCGUGAUCAAAAACAGUUGGAAAGAUGCUGUUAGUAAAAGUAGCUGGUGAAUCACAAGUUCGGCCUAAGCCUCUGGUUGAAUGUGGUUUGCCAUAAUGCUAUAGAGGACAUCCGUCUUAAGGAUGCCUACCACACGGAUGGUCUAGCAGUGGUUGAGCUAGAUCCCGGUCUGAGGGUAUCAUGCAUUCGUAUACUCUUAGGCGUCAGGGAGGCCGCUGCUAUGCCCCAUACGUGCCUGGUUCAUGAGAGUUUCGCUCUCCCGACCUCAACUCAGGUGUGAUUACCCGCUGAACUUAA
RNAcentral lists this unclassified non-coding RNA (399 nucleotides) under uncultured fungus. RNAcentral's name for it is "sequence contains ITS1". The stretch from base 1 to 105 matches the Rfam family "5.8S ribosomal RNA", at positions 50 to 154 of the family's 154-position model. The record is from RNAcentral. Lineage: Eukaryota; Fungi.